UUCUUCUUCUUCUUCUUCUUCUGUGUGAUCAGCAGCUAUCUGUUUUACUUUUCAUGAUGGUUCAAUGUUCUAGACCUUUAAUUCUAUUACUUUGGAUCUUCUUCUUGUUCAUUUUCUUCCUUGGUUAUUGUCAUGCCACAAGAACCACCAACGUUUUCAGUCUCAACCCCAAGUCUCAGCAGUACAAAGGCCAUUUCUUCAAUUUCUUGCCCAGACAUUUCCCAAUACCCACUUCUGGCCCUUCAAGGAGACAUAAUGAUAUUGGGUUACAAAGUUGGAGAUCACCUUGAAGAUUUAAUGCCAUUUUUGAAGGAAAGGUGAUUCUCUUUUAUUCUUGAGUUUUUCUA
Molecule: unclassified non-coding RNA, 347 nt
Filed under: Hevea brasiliensis (rubber tree)
Lineage: Eukaryota; Viridiplantae; Streptophyta; Magnoliopsida; Malpighiales; Euphorbiaceae
Source: RNAcentral